CCUACGGGAGGCAGCAGUGGGGAAUAUUGCACAAUGGUGGAAACCCUGAUGCAGCGACGCCGCGUGAGUGAAGAAGUAUCUCGGUACGUAAAGCUCUAUCAGCAGGGAAGAAAAUAACGGUACCUGACUAAGAAGCACCGGCUCACUACGUGCCAGCAGCCGCGGUAAUACGUAGGGGGCAAGCGUUAUCCGGAUUGACUGGGUGUAAUGGGAGCGUAGACGGCAGCAAAGGUCUGGAGUGAAAUCCCGGGGCUUAACCCCGGAACUGCGUUGGAAACUGGGCGGCUGGAGUGCAGGAGGGGUAAGCGGAAUUCCUGGUGUAGCGGUGAAAUGCGUAGAUAUUAGGAGGAACACCGGUGGCGAAGGCGGCUUACUGGACUGUAACUGACGUUGAGGCUCGAAAGCGUGGGGAGCAAACAGGAUUAGAUACCCCGGUAGUC
This 440-nucleotide ribosomal RNA is filed under the name uncultured bacterium. Its description in RNAcentral is "partial 16S ribosomal RNA". It matches the Rfam family "Bacterial small subunit ribosomal RNA", at positions 338 to 795 of the family's 1533-position model. The record is from RNAcentral.